UACGGAGGGUGCGAGCGUUAAACGGAAUUAAUGGGCGUAAAGCGCGCGUAGGCGGCUUGAUAAGCAGGUUGUGAAAGCGCGGGGCUCAACCUGGGAACGGCAUCCGGAACUGUCAGGCUAGAGUGCAGGAGAGGAAGGUAGAAUUCCCGGUGUAGCGGUGAAAUGCGUAGAGAUCGGGAGGAAUACCAGUGGCGAAGGCGGCCUUCUGGACUGACACUGACGCUGAGGUGCGAAAGCGUGGGUAGCAAACAGG
RNAcentral lists this unclassified non-coding RNA (253 nucleotides) under uncultured Halomonadaceae bacterium. Its description in RNAcentral is "contains 16S-23S intergenic spacer region". It matches the Rfam family "Bacterial small subunit ribosomal RNA", at positions 524 to 776 of the family's 1533-position model. The record is from RNAcentral. Lineage: Bacteria; Pseudomonadati; Pseudomonadota; Gammaproteobacteria; Oceanospirillales; Halomonadaceae.